UACUCCUACGGGAGGCAGCAGUGGGGAAUUUUGCGCAAUAGGGGAAACCCUGACGCAGCAACGCCGCGUGAGUGAUGAAGGCUUUCGGGUCGUAAAGCUCUGUCAGAAGGGAAGAAAUGUGGGCGGCUAAUAUCUGUUCCACUUGACGGUACCUUCAAAGGAAGCACCGGCUAACUCCGUGCCAGCAGCCGCGGUAAUACGGAGGGUGCGAGCGUUGUUCGGAAUUAUUGGGCGUAAAGCGCGUGUAGGCGGCUUGUUAAGUCUGAUGUGAAAGCCCUGGGCUCAACCUGGGAAGUGCAUUGGAUACUGGCAGACUUGAGUACGGGAGAGGGUAGUGGAAUUCCUAGUGUAGGAGUGAAAUCCGUAGAUAUUAGGAGGACCACCGGUGGCGAAGGCGGCUGCCUGGACCGAUACUGA
Molecule: ribosomal RNA, 417 nt
Filed under: uncultured bacterium
Lineage: Bacteria
Description: bacterial SSU rRNA
Rfam family: Bacterial small subunit ribosomal RNA
Source: RNAcentral